Molecule: ribosomal RNA, 1346 nt
Filed under: uncultured bacterium
Lineage: Bacteria
Description: bacterial SSU rRNA
Rfam family: Bacterial small subunit ribosomal RNA
Source: RNAcentral
GACGAACGCUGGCGGCGUGCUUAACACAUGCAAGUCGAACGGAAAGGCCCUGCUUUUGUGGGGUGCUCGAGUGGCGAACGGGUGAGUAACACGUGAGUAACCUGCCCUUGACUUUGGGAUAACUUCAGGAAACUGGGGCUAAUACCGGAUAGGAGCUCCUGCUGCAUGGUGGGGGUUGGAAAGUUUCGGCGGUUGGGGAUGGACUCGCGGCUUAUCAGCUUGUUGGUGGGGUAGUGGCUUACCAAGGCUUUGACGGGUAGCCGGCCUGAGAGGGUGACCGGCCACAUUGGGACUGAGAUACGGCCCAGACUCCUACGGGAGGCAGCAGUGGGGAAUAUUGCACAAUGGGCGGAAGCCUGAUGCAGCAACGCCGCGUGCGGGAUGACGGCCUUCGGGUUGUAAACCGCUUUCGCCUGUGACGAAGCGUGAGUGACGGUAAUGGGUAAAGAAGCACCGGCUAACUACGUGCCAGCAGCCGCGGUGAUACGUAGGGUGCGAGCGUUGUCCGGAUUUAUUGGGCGUAAAGGGCUCGUAGGUGGUUGAUCGCGUCGGAAGUGUAAUCUUGGGGCUUAACCCUGAGCGUGCUUUCGAUACGGGUUGACUUGAGGAAGGUAGGGGAGAAUGGAAUUCCUGGUGGAGCGGUGGAAUGCGCAGAUAUCAGGAGGAACACCAGUGGCGAAGGCGGUUCUCUGGGCCUUUCCUGACGCUGAGGAGCGAAAGCGUGGGGAGCGAACAGGCUUAGAUACCCUGGUAGUCCACGCUGUAAACGGUGGGUACUAGGUGUGGGGUCCAUUCCACGGGUUCCGUGCCGUAGCUAACGCUUUAAGUACCCCGCCUGGGGAGUACGGCCGCAAGGCUAAAACUCAAAGGAAUUGACGGGGCCCCGCACAAGCGGCGGAGCAUGCGGAUUAAUUCGAUGCAACGCGUAGAACCUUACCUGGGUUUGACAUGGAUCGGGAGCGCUCAGAGAUGGGUGUGCCUCUUUUGGGGUCGGUUCACAGGUGGUGCAUGGCUGUCGUCAGCUCGUGUCGUGAGAUGUUGGGUUAAGUCCCGCAACGAGCGCAACCCUUGUUCACUGUUGCCAGCACGUUAUGGUGGGGACUCAGUGGAGACCGCCGGGGUCAACUCGGAGGAAGGUGGGGAUGACGUCAAGUCAUCAUGCCCCUUAUGUCCAGGGCUUCACGCAUGCUACAAUGGCUGGUACAGAGAGUGGCGAGCCUGUGAGGGUGAGCGAAUCUCGGAAAGCCGGUCUCAGUUCGGAUUGGGGUCUGCAACUCGACCUCAUGAAGUCGGAGUCGCUAGUAAUCGCAGAUCAGCAACGCUGCGGUGAAUACGUCCCCGGGGCU